UUCCGGUUGAUCCUGCCGGACCCUACUGCUAUCGGAGUGAGACUAAGCCAUGCGAGUCGUGCGCUUCCAAGCUAUGUUGGAAGCGCGGCUUACGGCUCCGUAACACGUGGCCAACCUACCCUCAGGAUGGAGAUAAUCCCGGGAAACUGGGGCUAAUAUCCAAUGGGCGGAAGCGCCGGAAUGGUCUUCCGCUGAAAGGGUGCAGAAACAAGCUUCUAACACUCGCCUGAGGAUGGGGCCGCGUCCGAUCAGGUUGUUGGUGGGGUAACGGCUCACCAAGCCUAUAACCGGUACGGGCCCUGAGAGGGGGAGCCCGGAGAUGGGAACUGAGACAAGGUCCCAGGCCUUACGGGGCGCAGCAGGCGCGAAAACUCCGCAAUGCGCGAAAGCGUGACGGGGUCACUCCGAGUGCCGUCCGCUGAGGAUGGCUUUUCCUCGGUGUAAGGAGCCGAGGGAAUAAGAGGGGGGCAAGACUGGUGUCAGCCGCCGCGGUAAUACCAGCUCCUCGAGUGGUAGGGACGAUUAUUUGGCCUAAAGCGUUCGUAGCCGGCUUAGCAAGUCUCCCGUUAAAUCCGGCGACUUAAUCGCCGGACCGCGGGAGAUACUUCUAAGCUAGGGGACGGGAGAGGUCGACGGUAUUCCCGGGGUAGGGGCGAAAUCCUAUAAUCCCGGGAGGACCACCGGUGGCGAAGGCGGUCGACCAGAACGUGCCUGACGGUGAGGGACGAAAGCUGGGGGAGCAAACCGGAUUAGAUACCCGGGUAGUCCCAGCCGUAAACGAUGCGGGCUAGGUGUUGGAACGGCUACGAGCCGUUCCGGUGCCGCAGGGAAGCCGUUAAGCCCGCCGCCUGGGGAGUACGGCCGCAAGGCUGAAACUUAAAGGAAUUGGCGGGGGAGCACCACAAGGGGUGAAGCCUGCGGUUUAAUUGGAUUCAACGCCGGG
RNAcentral lists this ribosomal RNA (943 nucleotides) under uncultured archaeon. RNAcentral's name for it is "bacterial SSU rRNA". It matches the Rfam family "Archaeal small subunit ribosomal RNA", at positions 1 to 922 of the family's 1478-position model. The record is from RNAcentral.